Molecule: ribosomal RNA, 2904 nt
Filed under: Escherichia coli
Lineage: Bacteria; Pseudomonadati; Pseudomonadota; Gammaproteobacteria; Enterobacterales; Enterobacteriaceae
Description: 23S ribosomal RNA
Rfam family: Bacterial large subunit ribosomal RNA
Source: RNAcentral
GGUUAAGCGACUAAGCGUACACGGUGGAUGCCCUGGCAGUCAGAGGCGAUGAAGGACGUGCUAAUCUGCGAUAAGCGUCGGUAAGGUGAUAUGAACCGUUAUAACCGGCGAUUUCCGAAUGGGGAAACCCAGUGUGAUUCGUCACACUAUCAUUAACUGAAUCCAUAGGUUAAUGAGGCGAACCGGGGGAACUGAAACAUCUAAGUACCCCGAGGAAAAGAAAUCAACCGAGAUUCCCCCAGUAGCGGCGAGCGAACGGGGAGCAGCCCAGAGCCUGAAUCAGUGUGUGUGUUAGUGGAAGCGUCUGGAAAGGCGCGCGAUACAGGGUGACAGCCCCGUACACAAAAAUGCACAUGCUGUGAGCUCGAUGAGUAGGGCGGGACACGUGGUAUCCUGUCUGAAUAUGGGGGGACCAUCCUCCAAGGCUAAAUACUCCUGACUGACCGAUAGUGAACCAGUACCGUGAGGGAAAGGCGAAAAGAACCCCGGCGAGGGGAGUGAAAAAGAACCUGAAACCGUGUACGUACAAGCAGUGGGAGCACGCUUAGGCGUGUGACUGCGUACCUUUUGUAUAAUGGGUCAGCGACUUAUAUUCUGUAGCAAGGUUAACCGAAUAGGGGAGCCGAAGGGAAACCGAGUCUUAACUGGGCGUUAAGUUGCAGGGUAUAGACCCGAAACCCGGUGAUCUAGCCAUGGGCAGGUUGAAGGUUGGGUAACACUAACUGGAGGACCGAACCGACUAAUGUUGAAAAAUUAGCGGAUGACUUGUGGCUGGGGGUGAAAGGCCAAUCAAACCGGGAGAUAGCUGGUUCUCCCCGAAAGCUAUUUAGGUAGCGCCUCGUGAAUUCAUCUCCGGGGGUAGAGCACUGUUUCGGCAAGGGGGUCAUCCCGACUUACCAACCCGAUGCAAACUGCGAAUACCGGAGAAUGUUAUCACGGGAGACACACGGCGGGUGCUAACGUCCGUCGUGAAGAGGGAAACAACCCAGACCGCCAGCUAAGGUCCCAAAGUCAUGGUUAAGUGGGAAACGAUGUGGGAAGGCCCAGACAGCCAGGAUGUUGGCUUAGAAGCAGCCAUCAUUUAAAGAAAGCGUAAUAGCUCACUGGUCGAGUCGGCCUGCGCGGAAGAUGUAACGGGGCUAAACCAUGCACCGAAGCUGCGGCAGCGACGCUUAUGCGUUGUUGGGUAGGGGAGCGUUCUGUAAGCCUGCGAAGGUGUGCUGUGAGGCAUGCUGGAGGUAUCAGAAGUGCGAAUGCUGACAUAAGUAACGAUAAAGCGGGUGAAAAGCCCGCUCGCCGGAAGACCAAGGGUUCCUGUCCAACGUUAAUCGGGGCAGGGUGAGUCGACCCCUAAGGCGAGGCCGAAAGGCGUAGUCGAUGGGAAACAGGUUAAUAUUCCUGUACUUGGUGUUACUGCGAAGGGGGGACGGAGAAGGCUAUGUUGGCCGGGCGACGGUUGUCCCGGUUUAAGCGUGUAGGCUGGUUUUCCAGGCAAAUCCGGAAAAUCAAGGCUGAGGCGUGAUGACGAGGCACUACGGUGCUGAAGCAACAAAUGCCCUGCUUCCAGGAAAAGCCUCUAAGCAUCAGGUAACAUCAAAUCGUACCCCAAACCGACACAGGUGGUCAGGUAGAGAAUACCAAGGCGCUUGAGAGAACUCGGGUGAAGGAACUAGGCAAAAUGGUGCCGUAACUUCGGGAGAAGGCACGCUGAUAUGUAGGUGAAGUCCCUCGCGGAUGGAGCUGAAAUCAGUCGAAGAUACCAGCUGGCUGCAACUGUUUAUUAAAAACACAGCACUGUGCAAACACGAAAGUGGACGUAUACGGUGUGACGCCUGCCCGGUGCCGGAAGGUUAAUUGAUGGGGUCAGCGCAAGCGAAGCUCUUGAUCGAAGCCCCGGUAAACGGCGGCCGUAACUAUAACGGUCCUAAGGUAGCGAAAUUCCUUGUCGGGUAAGUUCCGACCUGCACGAAUGGCGUAAUGAUGGCCAGGCUGUCUCCACCCGAGACUCAGUGAAAUUGAACUCGCUGUGAAGAUGCAGUGUACCCGCGGCAAGACGGAAAGACCCCGUGAACCUUUACUAUAGCUUGACACUGAACAUUGAGCCUUGAUGUGUAGGAUAGGUGGGAGGCUUUGAAGUGUGGACGCCAGUCUGCAUGGAGCCGACCUUGAAAUACCACCCUUUAAUGUUUGAUGUUCUAACGUGGACCCGUGAUCCGGGUUGCGGACAGUGUCUGGUGGGUAGUUUGACUGGGGCGGUCUCCUCCUAAAGAGUAACGGAGGAGCACGAAGGUUGGCUAAUCCUGGUCGGACAUCAGGAGGUUAGUGCAAUGGCAUAAGCCAGCUUGACUGCGAGCGUGACGGCGCGAGCAGGUGCGAAAGCAGGUCAUAGUGAUCCGGUGGUUCUGAAUGGAAGGGCCAUCGCUCAACGGAUAAAAGGUACUCCGGGGAUAACAGGCUGAUACCGCCCAAGAGUUCAUAUCGACGGCGGUGUUUGGCACCUCGAUGUCGGCUCAUCACAUCCUGGGGCUGAAGUAGGUCCCAAGGGUAUGGCUGUUCGCCAUUUAAAGUGGUACGCGAGCUGGGUUUAGAACGUCGUGAGACAGUUCGGUCCCUAUCUGCCGUGGGCGCUGGAGAACUGAGGGGGGCUGCUCCUAGUACGAGAGGACCGGAGUGGACGCAUCACUGGUGUUCGGGUUGUCAUGCCAAUGGCACUGCCCGGUAGCUAAAUGCGGAAGAGAUAAGUGCUGAAAGCAUCUAAGCACGAAACUUGCCCCGAGAUGAGUUCUCCCUGACUCCUUGAGAGUCCUGAAGGAACGUUGAAGACGACGACGUUGAUAGGCCGGGUGUGUAAGCGCAGCGAUGCGUUGAGCUAACCGGUACUAAUGAACCGUGAGGCUUAACCUU